GGUGGUAAGAGCAAGAAGGCAACACCUGUAACCAUUCCGAACACAGAAGUUAAGCUUCUUUACGCCGAGAGUAGUUGGUGCGUGAGUACCUGCGAGGGUAGGAAGCUGCC
This 110-nucleotide ribosomal RNA is filed under the name insect gut metagenome. The record is from RNAcentral.